GAGGGUGCAAGCGUUAAUCGGAAUUACUGGGCGUAAAGCGCACGCAGGCGGUCUGUCAAGUCGGAUGUGAAAUCCCCGGGCUCAACCUGGGAACUGCAUUCGAAACUGGCAGGCUAGAGUCUUGUAGAGGGGGGUAGAAUUCCAGGUGUAGCGGUGAAAUGCGUAGAGAUCUGGAGGAAUACCGGUGGCGAAGGCGGCCCCCUGUACAAAGACUGACGCUCAGGUGCGAAAGCGUGGGGAGCAAACAGGAUUAGAUACCCUGGUAGUCCACGCCGUAAACGAUGUCGACUUGGAGGUUGUGCCCUUGAGGCGUGGCUUCCGGAGCUAACGCGU
Molecule: ribosomal RNA, 333 nt
Filed under: Enterobacter sp.
Lineage: Bacteria; Pseudomonadati; Pseudomonadota; Gammaproteobacteria; Enterobacterales; Enterobacteriaceae
Description: bacterial SSU rRNA
Rfam family: Bacterial small subunit ribosomal RNA
Source: RNAcentral